UGGUCAAGUUAUUAAGGGUGCAGGGCGGAUGCCUUGGCACUAGGAGCCGAUGAAGGACGUGAUAAGCUGCGAUAAGCUUCGGGGAGUUGCACGUAAACUUUGAUCCGAAGAUUUCCGAAUGAGGAAACUCACUUAGAGUAAUGUCUAAGUAUCAUUAAGUGAAUACAUAGCUUAAUGAGGGGAACUCAGGGAACUGAAACAUCUAAGUACCUGAAGGAAGAGAAAGAAAUUCGAUUCCGUAAGUAGCGG
This 249-nucleotide ribosomal RNA is filed under the name Clostridioides difficile. Its description in RNAcentral is "partial 23S ribosomal RNA". It matches the Rfam family "Bacterial large subunit ribosomal RNA", at positions 1 to 249 of the family's 2925-position model. The record is from RNAcentral. Lineage: Bacteria; Bacillati; Bacillota; Clostridia; Peptostreptococcales; Peptostreptococcaceae.